RNAcentral lists this non-coding RNA (28 nucleotides) under Bombyx mori (domestic silkworm). The record is from RNAcentral. Lineage: Eukaryota; Metazoa; Arthropoda; Insecta; Lepidoptera; Bombycidae.
UGGAAAGUAUAAAGGCGGACUUAAUGCC